This 247-nucleotide unclassified non-coding RNA is filed under the name Bacillus sp. (in: firmicutes). RNAcentral describes it as "Bacillus sp. (in: Bacteria) contains 16S-23S intergenic spacer region". The record is from RNAcentral. Lineage: Bacteria; Bacillati; Bacillota; Bacilli; Caryophanales; Bacillaceae.
AGGUCUUGACAUCCCACUGCCCGGUAUAUCUCUAUACCGGGCAGUGGGAUGUCAAGACCUGGUAAGGUUCUUCGCGUUGCUUCGAAUUAAACCACAUGCUCCACCGCUUGUGCGGGCCCCCGUCAAUUCCUUUGAGUUUCAGUCUUGCGACCGUACUCCCCAGGCGGAGUGCUUAAUGCGUUUGCUGCAGCACUAAAGGGCGGAAACCCUCUAACACUUAGCACUCAUCGUUUACGGCGUGGACUAC